RNAcentral lists this ribosomal RNA (561 nucleotides) under uncultured archaeon. Its description in RNAcentral is "bacterial SSU rRNA". It matches the Rfam family "Archaeal small subunit ribosomal RNA", at positions 176 to 738 of the family's 1478-position model. The record is from RNAcentral.
UGGUUUAUGUUCCAAAUGAUUUAUCGCCGUAGGAUGGGACUGCGGCCUAUCAGUUUGUUGGUGAGGUAAUGGCCCACCAAGACUAUUACAGGUACGGGCUCUGAGAGGAGUGGCCCGGAGAUGGGUACUGAGACACGGACCCAGGCCCUAUGGGGCGCAGCAGGCGAGAAAACUUUGCAAUGUGCGAAAGCACGACAAGGUUAAUCCGAGUGGUUUGUGCUAAACGAACCUUUUGUCAGUCCUAGAAACACUAACGAAUAAGGGGUGGGCAAGUUCUGGUGUCAGCCGCCGCGGUAAAACCAGCACCUCAAGUGGUCAGGAUGAUUAUUGGGCCUAAAGCAUCCGUAGCCGGCUCUGUAAGUUUUCGGUUAAAUCUGUACGCUUAACGUACAGGCUGCCGGGAAUACUGCAGAGCUAGGGAGUGGGAGAGGUAGACGGUACUCGAUAGGAAGGGGUAAAAUCCUUUGAUCUAUUGAUGACCACCUGUGGCGAAGGCGGUCUACCAGAACACGUCCGACGGUGAGGGAUGAAAGCUGGGGGAGCAAACCGGAUUAGAUACCC